GGUUUAAGCUGGUCUCUCAAAAAGGCAGGCUUUCUAUGCAAAUGAACCUGACUUUCUUGUCAUAUUAGCACAACUACUUAAAUUGGACUCAUUUUAAGUCAGUUUUUAUGAGCAGAAUCACUAGAUCAGCCUUAAUUUAAGUCAUGGUCACUUUAUAUCUCUUGCUAUUGAUGGCUGUCAUCCCUUGUAUUGACUCGCAGGUUGUGCUCACACAGUCUGAACAGUCAGUAGUUGUGUCUCCAGGUGGAUCAUAUAAACUGACCUGUGCCUGCAGUGGAUUCAGUGUGAGUGGCUAUUACAUGCACUGGAUCCGUCAGGCACCUGGGAAAGGACUUGAAUGGAUCAUUUUUUAUCAUACGGACUCAACUAAGAGCUCAGCUCAGUCAGUUCAGGGCAGAUUCACAGCAUCCAAAGACAGCUCGAAUCUCUAUCUGCAUAUGAGUCAACUGAAGACAGAAGACACUGCAGUUUAUUAUUGUGCGAGAGGUGCACUGUGAAAACUUUAAUACAGACAGCUGUUCCAAAACCAUCAACAA
Molecule: non-coding RNA, 536 nt
Organism: Misgurnus anguillicaudatus (oriental weatherfish)
Lineage: Eukaryota; Metazoa; Chordata; Actinopteri; Cypriniformes; Cobitidae
Source: the annotation of a RefSeq genome assembly